This 564-nucleotide ribosomal RNA is filed under the name uncultured bacterium. RNAcentral's name for it is "bacterial SSU rRNA". It matches the Rfam family "Bacterial small subunit ribosomal RNA", at positions 358 to 916 of the family's 1533-position model. The record is from RNAcentral.
GGAAUUUUGGACAAUGGGGGAAACCCUGAUCCAGCAAUGCCGCGUGAGUGAAGAAGGCCUUCGGGUUGUAAAGCUCUUUUGUCAGGGAAGAAACACCGGCUCUAACACAGUCCGGGAAUGACGGUACCUGAAGAAUAAGCACCGGCUAACUACGUGCCAGCAGCCGCGGUAAUACGUAGGGUGCGAGCGUUAAUCGGAAUUACUGGGCGUAAAGCGUGCGCAGGCGGUUAUACAAGACAGGCGUGAAAUCCCCGGGCUUAACCUGGGAAUGGCGCCUGUGACUGUAUAGCUAGAGUGUGUCAGAGGGGGGUAGAAUUCCACGUGUAGCAGUGAAAUGCGUAGAUAUGUGGAGGAAUACCAACGGCGAAGGCAGCCCCCUGGGAUAACACUGACGCUCAUGCACGAAAGCGUGGGGAGCAAACAGGAUUAGAUACCCUGGUAGUCCACGCCCUAAACGAUGCUGACUAGUUGUUCGGGAUUUACAUCCUGAGUAACGUAGCUAACGCGUGAAGUCAGCCGCCUGGGGAGUACGGUCGCAAGAUUAAAACUCAAAGGAAUUGACGG